Long non-coding RNA from Myzus persicae (green peach aphid), 655 nucleotides. RefSeq lists it as uncharacterized. The transcript is spliced from 3 exons. The record is from RefSeq and is a predicted model, not a curated record. Lineage: Eukaryota; Metazoa; Arthropoda; Insecta; Hemiptera; Aphididae.
CUGACAUUUUUUUUGUUUAAUGACUAACGAUUCACACAAUUUUAGAGUAAACAGAUAAAUAUGAAAUCAUCAUUAUUUAUAAUAUAUGUAUUUAAUAAAUGAUUUUAUCAUUUUGUAGAACACGAGUAAACUGGUAAAUACCUUCAAUACCUAUUCGGUAAGUGUACACCUAUCUCAUAAAUCAUAAUGUCCUAUUAUUGCGUUAAAUGUAUAGCUUGGUGGUCAAACGUGAGGAAUAUAUGCCUUCAUCCGUCCUCAAAUGACUUUUUCAAUAUUUAUAAUCUUAUAACUAUAAAUUAUAUUUUUAAUUAUCGAAUAGUGCAUGUUGAAAAAUCAGCCCAAUCGUGGCAAAAUUAUUAGACUAUCACUGAUUAGGUUAGGUUAGGUUAGCUAUGUUGUUAGCUCAUAUUAUGGUAUUGGUCAUGUGGAAACAUGUGACAAAACUUGAACGCACUAAUAUUGUAUAUAUUAAAUUAUUUUAAAUUGUAUUGUUUUACAAAAAGAUAUCGGUAAGUGUUACAAUUUUCAGUGAUUAUAGAAAGUACCAAUAAGCUUAAAUGAGAGUUCCUUAUAAAAUAAAUAUAUGAAUCAAUUUAUUAAUCACAUUAAUGAAUAUGUAAUUGCCAAAUGUACCUAAGUCUAAGUUUCUGUUAAA